GUUGAAUAUUUAGAGAUUAGAUUGUUUAUCUGAGAAUAAAAUAUAAAUUAAUAUCAAAGAGAAAAUUCAGCUUAUAUUUUACAAAUAAAAUAUUUCAUGAAAAAUUGAAGUAAUUUUUAAUAGUUGGAUUAUUUGUUGAAUAACGUAUUUUUGUAGUGUCUUUGCGUCUUUUUCAUAUUUUUUUUACAGAAGCCAUAGAGUGAUAAUUUGAAAUGUGAUUUUAUCAAAAAUAUGUGUUCGAUAAUAUGAAAUUAAUGUUGGUAGUUAGCCGCUAAAUCGCAAAUAUGGUAUGGAAAGACACCUGUUGAAAUAAGCAAAAUUGUUAUAAAAUUGUCUUUAGAAGAUUCUUUUGUGAAAUUGCUUCAAUAUUAUUUGUUGGGAAGAAUAAA
Molecule: long non-coding RNA, 389 nt
Organism: Apis florea (little honeybee)
Lineage: Eukaryota; Metazoa; Arthropoda; Insecta; Hymenoptera; Apidae
Source: RefSeq, a predicted model, not a curated record